RNAcentral lists this ribosomal RNA (471 nucleotides) under uncultured bacterium. Its description in RNAcentral is "bacterial SSU rRNA". It matches the Rfam family "Bacterial small subunit ribosomal RNA", at positions 40 to 518 of the family's 1533-position model. The record is from RNAcentral.
CGGCGUGCCUAACACAUGCAAGUCGAACGGAGUUGAGGAGCUUGCUCCUUAACUUAGUGGCGGACGGGUGAGUAACGCGUGAGUAACCUGCCUCUGAGAGGGAAUAACGUUCUAGAAAAGAACGCUAAUACCGCAUGACACAUUAUUUGCCGCAUGACAGAUAUGUACAAAGUAUUUUAUCGCUCAGAGAUGGACUCGCGUCCGAUUAGUUAGUUGGUGAGGUAACGGCUCACCAAGACCGCGAUCGGUAGCCGGACUGAGAGGUUGAACGGCCACAGUUGGACUGAGACACCGGCCCAGACUCCGUACGGGAGGCAGCAGGUGGGGAUAUUGCGACAAUGGGGGCAACCCUGAACCGCAGCAACGCCGCGUGAAGGAUGAAGGUUUUCGGAUCGUAAACUUCUUUUCUCAGGGACGGAAUUUGACGGUACCUGAGGAAUAAGCUCCGGCUAACUACGUGCCAGCAGCUGC